Molecule: transfer RNA, 77 nt
Filed under: Desulfobaculum bizertense
Lineage: Bacteria; Pseudomonadati; Thermodesulfobacteriota; Desulfovibrionia; Desulfovibrionales; Desulfovibrionaceae
Also listed under: 2 other names
Description: Paradesulfovibrio bizertensis tRNA-Met
Rfam family: tRNA
About the family: Transfer RNA (tRNA) molecules are approximately 80 nucleotides in length. Their secondary structure includes four short double-helical elements and three loops (D, anti-codon, and T loops). Further hydrogen bonds mediate the characteristic L-shaped molecular structure. tRNAs have two regions of fundamental functional importance: the anti-codon, which is responsible for specific mRNA codon recognition, and the 3' end, to which the tRNAs corresponding amino acid is attached (by aminoacyl-tRNA synthetases). tRNAs cope with the degeneracy of the genetic code in two manners: having more than one tRNA (with a specific anti-codon) for a particular amino acid; and 'wobble' base-pairing, i.e. permitting non-standard base-pairing at the 3rd anti-codon position.
Source: RNAcentral
GGCGAGAUAGCUCAGUUGGUUAGAGCAUGCGGCUCAUAUCCGCAGUGUCGGAGGUUCAAGUCCUCUUCUCGCUACCA